RNAcentral lists this unclassified non-coding RNA (472 nucleotides) under Hevea brasiliensis (rubber tree). Lineage: Eukaryota; Viridiplantae; Streptophyta; Magnoliopsida; Malpighiales; Euphorbiaceae. The record is from RNAcentral.
GGGAUAAAGGCUUAGUUGAGUUGUUGCCCUCCACAUCAUUUUAAGUCUUCUCUUUUCUCUUCUCACUUGUUCCAUCAAUGCUUUGUCACAUCUUUGUACUGGGGCAAUUAAUUCUUACAUUGGAUAUGACCAAACUAAUUUUAGGUCUUUUCCUUUCUUUCCUCACUCAUUCCACCAAUGUUUUAUCACAUCUCUGUACUAGAGUAUUUAAUUCUUACGUUGGAUAUGACCAAACUAUCUUAAUCAAUAUUCUCUUAUUUUAUCUUCAAUUAUGCUACAUAUACUAUUUGGCAGAUUUAGUCAUUCCUAAUCUUAUUUAUUAUCAUAACACUAGACACAAGGACAGACCGAGCAUAUAAUGGCCCCUUAUUAUUUUUUUAAAUAGAUAUAUUGUAACCUUGAAGCGGAAUUGAUUGCUUUGGCCCACUUGUGACAUAGGAAUCUUGUUAGGCUAAGAGGAUGGUGUGUUCAU